RNAcentral lists this antisense RNA (154 nucleotides) under Providencia alcalifaciens. RNAcentral describes it as "sok antitoxin". It matches the Rfam family "sok antitoxin (CssrC)". From Rfam's summary of the family: Also identified in Shigella as CssrC. The record is from RNAcentral. Lineage: Bacteria; Pseudomonadati; Pseudomonadota; Gammaproteobacteria; Enterobacterales; Morganellaceae.
GGGUGCUUGGAUCAUUUUGGUUCAAGCAGACAACAAGUUGUGAGACCAAAAAGACGAAAGCCCCGAGUUCCAUUAACAGUAACUCGAGGCAGUCUCCAACCCAACAAUUGGAUUCUGUCUCCUUUUUGUACAGGAGUCAAGAGGAAUGACCAAG